This 75-nucleotide transfer RNA is filed under the name Hibiscus syriacus. RNAcentral describes it as "partial tRNA-Leu". It matches the Rfam family "tRNA", at positions 11 to 71 of the family's 71-position model. From Rfam's summary of the family: Transfer RNA (tRNA) molecules are approximately 80 nucleotides in length. Their secondary structure includes four short double-helical elements and three loops (D, anti-codon, and T loops). Lineage: Eukaryota; Viridiplantae; Streptophyta; Magnoliopsida; Malvales; Malvaceae. The record is from RNAcentral.
CGAAAUCGGUAGACGCUACGGACUUAAAAUCCGUCGACUUUAAAACUCGUGAGGGUUCAAGUCCCUCUAUCCCCA